AAUAAGUACUAAAUUCAAUAUCCUACAAAUUUUUGUCAAAUGUUGUAGGAUUGUUAGGUAGUUGCAAUGUCCCAAAACUAUCGUACAUCAAACAAGGUGCCUUAAAAACCAUCAAGAAUAGUUCAACACAAACAAGACCAUGGAAAAAGGUGUGGUUUAAGAGCAGUUCUUGCUAUAUCAAUCAGGCUUCAGGCCUCCUCCGACUCCAUCUUAUUA
This 216-nucleotide unclassified non-coding RNA is filed under the name Hevea brasiliensis (rubber tree). Lineage: Eukaryota; Viridiplantae; Streptophyta; Magnoliopsida; Malpighiales; Euphorbiaceae. The record is from RNAcentral.